AUUGUAGAACUACCAUGACUUCUAAUGCUCUAUACAUGGCAGUACAUUCCACAUCUCGCUUCCUCGUUUGGACCUCUUGGAGCUGCUUCUUAGUACGGUGGUGGAGGAUAGAGCCCAGGAAAAGGACCUGGAGGAUAAUAGGGUGAAGCAUGUGGGGGUGGUGGAUAUGGAGGUGGAGGAUAAGUUGAAGGUGAUGGGUAUGUUGGAGGGGGAUAUGCAGUUGGUGGAGGAGGGUAUGCAGAUGGUGGAUAUGCUGAAUUAGGUGGGUAUGAGGGAUAAGGAGAUGGAGUUGUGUAUGCUGUAGCUGGUUGCACAUAAGAAGCUCCAGAUGCUCGGGGUGGCUCUGAGUACAUGGAGACAUGAGGUACAGGUGCUGUGUACAGUGGAGCAGAUGGAGUAAAGCUUGUUGCUGGCUUCCUGGCAUUUGCAUAAUGCAAUAUGAGCCUCACUUCUCCAGCGCAUCUGCCAGUUUUAGUCUGAAGUGGCCAAGUGCUAUCAUCAUAACCCUCUGAUAGAACCUUCAGCAAUUGAACCUUUCCACUGCCAAUGAAAUCAUCAUAUGUUAAGGUAUUGCUGUUCCAAACCGCGACAUUCAUCUCUCUUAGCCCUUCAAUUAAAGUAAAUACAAACUUCUCUUGGAAUGUAGGAUUUUUGCCACCAUCUGUACAGGUUCUUGUGCGGGAUUUAUUACUACCAUAUUCAACAAUAGCAUAAGGAUCUUGCCUAGAAAUCCAUUCUGUAUCUUUCAAUUUAUUACAACAAACAACGGUAACUUCAAGAAGAUGGCCUUGAAUACCAGAAACGGACAUAGUAGUAGAUGGGUAAGGAGAAGAAGACCGCUGAUUUGAAAAUGAAUACAUCAUCCCCUCAGUAAUCUUCUAUUAUAUAUAUAUAUAAAAGACAAAAGGUCUGGCCUUUUUAAUAUUGC
Molecule: unclassified non-coding RNA, 928 nt
Filed under: Hevea brasiliensis (rubber tree)
Lineage: Eukaryota; Viridiplantae; Streptophyta; Magnoliopsida; Malpighiales; Euphorbiaceae
Source: RNAcentral